This 1457-nucleotide long non-coding RNA is filed under the name Coturnix japonica (Japanese quail). RNAcentral's name for it is "lncRNA (ENSCJPG00005016550.1)". The record is from RNAcentral. Lineage: Eukaryota; Metazoa; Chordata; Aves; Galliformes; Phasianidae.
CCUGGGACCAGCCUCCCUCUGGCUGCAGUUGCCUGUCACACCACCCAGUAAAUAUUUUAUUUGGGAAAUGUUCCAGUUAUUUAGCCAUGAUUUUGUGCCAAAAAAGCCAGCAUAUCCUCAUUGUGUUUGCUCAAGGUCUGGCUCUGGUGCCAUGGUGUUUUCCUUGCAGGCAAGGCCAGGUUGAGGUCAGACUGUCCUCUUAUGUCCCUUCUGUGAACAGUGCUGACCUUGCAGUUUGCUCUCAAGCCAUGUGAUUAGUGCCAUUGGAGAAGAAAUCUCCAGGAUGCUUAGUGUGACGGCACGUUCAAUGUCACAAUGUAAUGAUCUCUUAGAGGUUGGUUGCAGCAUUCCCUAUCUGUUCUGCUAGGCACUGUCUGCUCAUCUUCCAUUCCACUGCAUCUGGUGACCAACAGGCAGGCAAAACAGCCCUGGGCCAUUUUUCCUGAUGUCACCAACCACAAAAGCAGAUAAGAAAGAUUCCAAAUUGCUGUACAGCAGAGAAGACUGGUGAGCGUCAUGAGCCGUUUGGUUGUUUCCCUCUGCAGAAUGCCCUUUCACAGAACACAAAGCAUCCUUGCACCAAAUUCCUUUACCACAGCAAUCGCUGUCUGUCCUAGUGCCACAGUGACAAGGGCACCUUAGGUAUGUAUACAUAGAGAUGUAUGCCUUCCACCAUUAAGGCAGUCCCUAAAAUAGGGAAGGAGAAGGGCACUGAUGCUUUAUUUGUAUGAGACCACUCACAGAGGCAUCUCUGCUGCGACAUCUGGCUGCUUUGGGCUAAUGGGUCAGACAAGGCAUGAGCCUGCUCCUUGCCAUGUGUAAUCCCCAGUGCCUAGCCAUCAGGACACUGCAGACUGUUGGGUUCCAUUCAGGCAUAAUUCCAUCAUUACCAUUGAUUUGUUCUCUUACACUCUCUGUGGUGCUUUUAAUCAACUCUCCAUCUUUGUGCCUUCACACCUUCACGCUUUUCAUGAUUGGCUUUGCUACCUUCUGCCUCUGCUAUGAAAUAGUACCAAUGAAAAUCUGCCUGCAUCUUACGUACAUUAACUGUCCCAUUUCUUCUCUCUCUGGUCCAUUGAAGGGAUCUCCCUCUCCCACAAAGGCACCCCUGUCUCUGCACAGCGCUCAGGUGACUUUAAUCUGUAAUAUCAGCAAUAAUCACCAUGGUAUUGUUGCCUAGGCAUUCCUGAAGAGUCAGAAGUGGACUGUAAUUGAAGAGUUCAUUACCAAGAUCAGUUGGCUCCUUGAUUACAGUGGCAAGGUGAAAUAUAUAUCCUCACCAAAAAGCAACCGCUAAACCUUUAGAGAAGUCACCCACUUUUCACUCUUUUUCAUUAGGACCCCGACAAGCUUGUCAGCAAAAUUAAAGGUAUGUCAUUCACAUCGUGCAUGCAUUGCAAAGGACUAUAAACCUGCCAACCCCUUUGAUGAAAUAAAAGGGUUUUAUUUAUGAUUCA